GACGAACGCUGGCGGCGUGCUUAACACAUGCAAGUCGAACGGAAAGGCCCUGCUUUUGUGGGGUGCUCGAGUGGCGAACGGGUGAGUAACACGUGAGUAACCUGCCCUUGACUUUGGGAUAACUUCAGGAAACUGGGGCUAAUACCGGAUAGGGGCUCCUGCUGCAUGGUGGGGGUUGGAAAGUUUCGGCGGUUGGGGAUGGACUCGCGGCUUAUCAGCUUGUUGGUGGGGUAGUGGCUUACCAAGGCUUUGACGGGUAGCCGGCCUGAGGGGGUGACCGGCCACAUUGGGACUGAGAUACGGCCCAGACUCCUACGGGAGGCAGCAGUGGGGAAUAUUGCACAAUGGGCGGAAGCCUGAUGCAGCAACGCCGCGUGCGGGAUGACGGCCUUCGGGUUGUAAACCGCUUUCGCCUGUGACGAAGCGUGAGUGACGGUAAUGGGUAAAGAAGCACCGGCUAACUACGUG
Molecule: ribosomal RNA, 468 nt
Filed under: uncultured bacterium
Lineage: Bacteria
Description: partial 16S ribosomal RNA
Rfam family: Bacterial small subunit ribosomal RNA
Source: RNAcentral